CCCGCAGGACCUGGGGGGGCACCCGGGGGCCGGGGGCUUCGCUGCGGCCGCUGCCAGCGCUGGGGGUCGACGGCUGCCAGAGCCUCUGCGAGGAGGGCGGCUGCCCCUGCGGGCGCCCGGCCCUGGGGCUGCUGCUGCGCCGGGAGCCGCGUCCGGAGACCCCCCCCCGGCCCCCCCCGCCCAGGCGGCUGCUGGCGCCUUCGGCUGCUUUGACGGCGACUCCGAGGCCUGGGAGCCCCCCCGAGGCGGCG
Molecule: long non-coding RNA, 251 nt
Organism: Dromaius novaehollandiae (emu)
Lineage: Eukaryota; Metazoa; Chordata; Aves; Casuariiformes; Dromaiidae
Exons: 3
Source: RefSeq, a predicted model, not a curated record